GAUCAUGGCUCAGGAUGAACGCUGGCGGCGUGCCUAAUACAUGCAAGUCGAACGAAUCUCUUUUAGAGAUGAGUGGCGAACGGGUGAGUAAUACAUAAGUAACCUGGCAUCUACAGGGGGAUAACUGAUGGAAACGUCAGCUAAGACCGCAUAGGUGUAGAGAUCGCAUGAACUCUAUAUGAAAAGUGCUACGGGACUGGUAGAUGAUGGACUUAUGGCG
Molecule: ribosomal RNA, 220 nt
Filed under: uncultured bacterium
Lineage: Bacteria
Description: partial 16S ribosomal RNA
Rfam family: Bacterial small subunit ribosomal RNA
Source: RNAcentral